UACGUAGGGCGCAAGCGUUGUCCGGAAUUAUUGGGCGUAAAGAGCUCGUAGGCGGUCUGUCGCGUUGGCUGUGAAAACCCGAGGCUCAACCUCGGGCCUGCAGUCGAUACGGGCAGACUAGAGUGCUGUAGGGGAGACUGGAAUUCCUGGUGUAGCGGUGAAAUGCGCAGAUAUCAGGAGGAACACCGGUGGCGAAGGCGGGUCUCUGGGCAGUAACUGACGCUGAGGAGCGAAAGCGUGGGGAGCAAACAGG
This 253-nucleotide ribosomal RNA is filed under the name uncultured bacterium. RNAcentral describes it as "partial 16S ribosomal RNA". It matches the Rfam family "Bacterial small subunit ribosomal RNA", at positions 524 to 776 of the family's 1533-position model. The record is from RNAcentral.